CAUGUAGGCGGCAUAACAAGUCUGGUGUGAAAUAUCUCGGCUCAACCGAGGGAACGCACUGGAAACUGUUAAGCUUGAGUAUCGGAGGGGAAGCUAGAAUUCCUGGUGUAGGGGUGAAAUCUGUAGAUAUCAGGAAGAAUACCGGUGGCGAAGGCGAGCUUCUGGCCAGAUACUGACGCUGAGAUGCGAAAGCGUGGGGAGCGAACAGGAUUAGAUACCCUGGUAGUCC
This 229-nucleotide ribosomal RNA is filed under the name uncultured bacterium. RNAcentral describes it as "partial 16S ribosomal RNA". It matches the Rfam family "Bacterial small subunit ribosomal RNA", at positions 568 to 796 of the family's 1533-position model. The record is from RNAcentral.